GCAACUCGCCUGCAUGAAGUUGGAAUUGCUAGUAAUCGCGAAUCAGAAUGUCGCGGUGAGUACGUUCCCGGGCCUUGUACACACCGCCCGUCACACCAUGAGAGUCGAUAACACCCGAAGCCUGUGAGCUAACCGCAAGGAGGCAGCAGUCGAAGGUGGGGUUGAUGAUUGGGGUGAAGUCGUAACAAGGUAUC
This 194-nucleotide ribosomal RNA is filed under the name uncultured bacterium. RNAcentral's name for it is "partial 16S ribosomal RNA". It matches the Rfam family "Bacterial small subunit ribosomal RNA", at positions 1307 to 1500 of the family's 1533-position model. The record is from RNAcentral.